GUUGCGGUGGCCGAGUGGUUAAGGCGUUGGACUAGAAAUCCAAUGGGAUCUUCCCGCGCAGGUUCGAAUCCUGCCCGCAACA
This 82-nucleotide transfer RNA is filed under the name Nematostella vectensis (starlet sea anemone). It matches the Rfam family "tRNA". From Rfam's summary of the family: Transfer RNA (tRNA) molecules are approximately 80 nucleotides in length. Their secondary structure includes four short double-helical elements and three loops (D, anti-codon, and T loops). The record is from Rfam by way of RNAcentral. Lineage: Eukaryota; Metazoa; Cnidaria; Anthozoa; Actiniaria; Edwardsiidae.